UACGGGGGGGGCAAGCGUUGUUCGGAAUUACUGGGCGUAAAGGGCUUGUAGGUGGCCAACUAAGUCAGACGUGAAAUCCCUCGGCUUAACCGGGGAACUGCGUCUGAUACUGGAUGGCUUGAGUGUGGGAGAGGGAUGCGGAAUUCCAGGUGUAGCGGUGAAAUGCGUAGAUAUCUGGAGGAACACCGGUGGCGCAAGCGACUUGCUGGGCCAUAACUGACACUGAGGAACGAAAGCUAGGGGAGCGAAUGGG
Molecule: ribosomal RNA, 253 nt
Filed under: uncultured bacterium
Lineage: Bacteria
Description: partial 16S ribosomal RNA
Rfam family: Bacterial small subunit ribosomal RNA
Source: RNAcentral